Molecule: ribosomal RNA, 253 nt
Filed under: uncultured bacterium
Lineage: Bacteria
Description: partial 16S ribosomal RNA
Rfam family: Bacterial small subunit ribosomal RNA
Source: RNAcentral
GACGGGGGGUGCCAGCGUUAUCAGGAAUCACUGGGCGUAAAGCGUCUGUAGGUGGUGAUGCAAGUCACUGGUGCAAAACUCUGGCUCAACCGGAGGAAAGCCAGUGAAACUGCAUGACUAGAGUGUGGGAGAGGUAGAAGGAAUUCCCUGAGUAGCGGUGAAAUGCGUAGAUACAGGGAAGAACACCGGAGGCGAAAGCGUUCUACUGGAACACAACUGACACUGAGAGACGAAAGCUAGGGGAGCGAAUGGG